UUAAGAGUUAUACAUCCUUCUGACUUAGCACCACGCAUGGCCUAUUAUUAUUCCUUGCCAAGAAUGAAACAACUCCAAAUUUAUCAUCUACCCAAAUUAAAAGCAUUUAUUCGAGAACCAAGAUUACGUAUAUCACAAUCAAAAUAAAAACUAAUUAAAAUAAUUUAAUUGCAAACUAAGUCAUGCCACUCAAACAACGUAGAAACAAAAAUCAACCAACACACACACCAAGCUAUUGUAAUAAAAGGAAAUGAGAAUGAAAAUUGAGAAAUAGACCUUUUAUUGAUGAACAAAACUGAAAAUUGCAAAUCAAUCAGGCUUAACAAGGCAACAAUCUUGAGAUUGAAACAUCAAAAUUAUGAACCGGAACCUCAAAUUGACAUCGGAGAGCUCGAAACCCAAAUCAACCUUAGAUAAACUAGAACCUCCAAACAUUUGACAAAGCAGACCAUCCCUUAAUAUUUGUGCUCUUUAAAAUGUUUACCACCGCCGAAAACUUUGUGAACAGGAUGUUCCCUAAAACAAAAGCCGACAAACUUUAGACUUAAACCACGACGUUACGGGAGGAGAUGAUGUUGUUUUCUUAUUUUUAUCAGAAUCAAAAAAAAGACGAAGAAGAGUGAUAGUUAUUAUUACGGAGAUGAUGUUGUUUCCUACAUUACACUCCUUGUUUUCUUAUCAAUCCUGCCAUUUUUAGUGUAGCUCCUAGGUCUAGGUAUUGAAAACUUAGGGUAAGGUUUCUAUAAUUGGAUAUUUUAUAUGGAGGUGGGAAGGGAUGAUGGCCACUAGAUUAGAAGGAAAUACAUAGCUAGGAUUAAAUCUUGCACUUAAGUGGGCUAAUGGGUUGGAAAGAAUGGGCUAAGGGUAAUUGGGUUGGACCAUGUCAUUUGGGUUAAAACUUAGGCUAAAAAGACCAAAUAAUAUAAUGUAUCUAUAAAAAUGUAAAAAUCACUCUAAAUUAAAAUAAACUAAUAUAAAACUAAAUACUACGAGUGAAACUAAUUUUUUGUAUUUUCAAAUGUUAUAAUACUAUAAAUAUAAAUAUACUAAUUGACUUUAACCUAAAGAUGAAAAUAUUUAUUUUAUUUUUUGUAAUUUUUAUUUUUUUGUGAUAAAAUAAAGUAAAAGAGUCAAAACUAUUUAAAAUAACGAUAUUAAACCUAAACUAAAUAUUUUACGCUAAAAUGUGUAAAAUCUUGGGGAUGGUCAAAAAUUACAUGUCUACAGCUGCCCUUCUUUGACUGGAAACGCGAAGAGUUUUCAGGCAAAGAACGACGAGACAGGUUUUUCGACCCGACCCUUAUUUAGAGCGACCAAAAACUAAGAGAAAGGAGAAUGUGACCAAGCCCUGGUAUCUGAGCUGCCUACAUAUCCUUGGCUAUAAAGGAAUCAGGCCACGUGUAGUUCGGAAUUAGGAAGAGUGAUGGAGUAUACCGAGGUGGAGAGCCGAUUGAGGUGUCGUCGAGGUUCCGGUCCGCGGUAUCGUUAUUACACCAAAAUCAAAAAUGAAAAGACUAACUAAGCUUAUCAGCUACGAGUUACAAGAUUACUAUCUAUGAGUCUUCUGAAGUUUGAUCUUCAGUCUUGGUUGGUCCUUCAUGCGGACUCUGAUCUGAAUCUUAAUGCUUGUUAGCUGCAGGUGCUGGUUCUUUCCUUUUUCAACUUCUCAGAUCAAGGCGAGACAUGCAAAGCUUGUGAUUUCAAUCACGUCUUGAGCGGUCCACAUCUUUUCUCCGCUUCUGCACUUUAAGUUCACUUCUUUUUCUUUUUUUUCUUUUUUCCUUAUUCGGGAUUGAGACUCAUUCUUUUGGUCGUCUCGAACCUUGUGCCUUGAGGUAAAACCUGAUCAGACACCAAAACAAGCAAACGAACGAAUGAAAUUUUUUUGCCCCAGUUUUCACUAGGAAAAUUCGUGAGUUAUUUUAAUAAAAUUCUAAACUACUUCUUUAUUGAAAGCAAUAAAAGGUCGGGAUUGUGUAUCCUUGGGAAAAAGAGAUUAGGGAGUGGAGUCCCUAUAUCUAAAAUGAAAUCAACUAGGGAUUGGAGACCCUAAGUUGGAAAGAUUACCAGGUUAUGUUGGCAUCAACUAAGGAGUGGGACCCUAUGUUGGAAAAGAUUACCAAGUUAUGCUGGCAUCAACUAGGGAGUGGGACCUAUGUUGGAAAAGAUUACCAGGCUAUGCUGGCAUCAACUACUGAAUUGGACCCUAUUUUGGAAGAGAAAACUAGGGAGUGGAGACCCUAUGUCUAAACCGAACCAAGAAGGAUUUUUGUGUUUUUUUUUUUGGAAGAAAAUCAUUUUUUUGUGUUUGAGAAAAUCAUUAUUUUAAACAAAUUGCUCAAACGCUUUUUUUAAGAAAUUAUUAUCCUAGGAGAAAAUUCACCAGGCUAGGUUUCUUUUUUUUUGUAUCUUAGGAGAAAGAUUCAUCAGACUAAGAUUCUUUUUUUUGGUAUCUUAGGAGAAAGAUUCAUCAGACUAAGAUGUAUAUCCUAGGAGAAAAUUCAUCAGACUAGGUUUUCUAUCUUAGGAGAAAUAUUCAUUAGACUAAGAUUUCGAUCCGAGGAGAAAAGUUCAUCAGACUAGGUCUUUUUUUGGUAUCUUAGGAGAAAGAUUCAUCAAACUAAGAUUUCUAUCCUAGGAGAAAAUUCGUCAGACUAGAUUUUCUAUCUUAGGAAAAAGAUUGAUCAGACGAAGAUUUUGAUCCUAGGAAAAAGUUCAUCAGACUAGGUCUUCUAUCUCAGGAGAAAGAUCCAUCAGCCUAAGAUUUUGAUCCUAGGAGAAAAUUCAUCAAACUAGGUCCUUUUUUGUUAUCUUAGGAGAAAGAUUUAUCAGACUAAGUUUUGUUUUGUUAUCUUAGGAGAAAGAUUCAUCAAACUAAGAUUUUUAUACUAGGAGAAAGAUUCAUCAGACUAAGUUUUCUUAUCUUAGGAGAAAAGAUUCAUCAGACUAAGAUUUUGAUCUUAGAAGAAAGUUCAUCAAACUAGGUUUUCUAUCUUAGUAGAAAGAUUCAUCAGACUAAGAUUUUUAUUGGGAGGAAAAUCCAUCUGACUAGGACUUUUUAUCCUAGGAGGAAAAAUAUGGAGAUCAAUGGCAAGGUUUUGUGCACAAUGGCAAGGUUUUGUGCACAAUAGCAAGACAAAUAAAGGCGAAUAUUUGAGGAACUUCCCUUUGUCGGCUCUUCUCUUCUUUUCUUUUUCUUCUCUUUUUUUUUUGUUUUUUUUUCUUUUUUUUGAACCACUUUCCUUGAACUGCCUUGUUCCUGUUUCACACAAAGAAAAAUUUGUCAGUUUUGAAAAUGGUGGUCAGUUUGUAGCCUUGAGUCUUGGGCAACUUGGCUUCUUCUCAAUCAGCUUGAGUCGGUUUCAAGAAACUUUUGCUCUACAUAAACCCUAAUUAUUUCACACCCAGUACCAUUUAUAUUUGUGGCUCAAUCAGCCUUAUCCCAACUGGAGAUCUUUUCUUAGAUGACCUUUUCUGAUAUCUUGAGUGACUUCCUGCUUUUGAGCAAUUUGUCUGUCAGAGAGAAUCACAAGUUAUCUUUGCUUGCGCCAAGUAGGUUGACAAGAGUCUUUUGGGGGAGCUUUUGCAUGAAUCCUAAAGGCAUGUUACAAGUAGGAACUGAGUAUGCUGGCCAAAUUUACUUUGUGCAACUAAAAAGCUGGUAGCAGAUUUUGAAAUCUUUUUUUGCUUGUUUUGACAGGACUAACUUAGAGUGAAGGACACAAUAAUGCAAAGAAACAAGUAUUAACAAGAAGUGCCCCUGUUGGAAGGACGGAAGGAAGAGUUUUUUUUCAAUAACUAGCCUUAAUGAUCAUGACAUGCAUUUUGGACUUGAUAGUCAAUCUAUCAAACUAACCAAAUCUUUUCUUUUACCAUUCUUAUGACCUUUGAAGUCGGGCUUGUUCGUGAUGAUCCUUUGCAUCGGCUUCAUGACUCACUUUCGACAAGUGUUGGCCCAAGGUGUUUUCACGAACCAGUCUCUCUCAUUUAUUCAUCUCUGCUUACCGUCGUCUUACAGUGCCCAUGAGGGUUUUUAAUAGUAAGACUCUCUCAUUUUUCUUCUUUAUUUUUCUUUUUCUUUUGCUUUCUUGUGCGAGCAUCUUGACAGUGUUCUAUGUCGUGUGAAAACUAUUGUUCAUUGCAUGCGUCUCUUGGCAUUCUUGAAGGCUGAAUAGGAGGUCUUUAUUUGGAAGGUUUUUGGAUAGGGUUGGAAAGAAAUGACGUCAUGAAAUUUUAAAAUAGACUCAAAGUAAAGGGUUGUAGAUUUACAACUCUUGGAAUCGACUCUUUCAAAAGUGAAAUAAAAUCUUUUCCCCAGUUUCAGCUAUUGGGAUUUUUUUUUUUUGGAAUUCUUAUUUGGUUGGACCAAACCGUGAGGUUGCCUACGUAUCCUUUAUUAAGGAAUCAGGUCGAACGUAGUUCAAACAUCUGACCUAACUAUUUUUCAUCUUUGUUUCUGUUUCGUUUUUUUUCUUUUUCUAUUUUUUACUUUUCGUUUUCAAAACAAGUUGCCCCAAUUUCUAUUUUCUGGGCGCAUGGACCAUUGACAGUUCUUUUCUUCUUCAUCUUUUUUCACUUGAAAUUUCUAUGAAUUGCCCCAGUUUGUACUCUUGAGACAUUGAAUUUUUUUAUUUUUCUUUUUUUUUCAUUUUUUGUUUUUUUAAUCUUCAUUCUAUACUUGAUUCCAAAAGAGGGUGGUCAAAGAAAAUAACACAAGUUCAAAAGGGGUAACAAAGGGUAUAAAGUGUUUGGAUAGCAAAAAGGGCCUCCCAGCCUCGAGAACGUCAAUUAUAGUAUCUUUUCGCGAUCACAUCAUUGAUGAACAUGCUUGUCUUCUUGGGUCUUUUUUAGUAUAAAGCUGUAUGAGCAAUACUUUCCUCGCUGUGAAUGACCCUUGUCAAUUUGGGUGACUUUCCUUGGAUUUUGUCUUGAUUUAGAAGAUGUAUUUUGCAAUUUUCAUGUUGUCUGGAAUACACCUUCUAUUGAAAACACUUUCUAUCUCUUAGUGCUAAACAAACUUCAACCCAUCCCAUUAUCCUUAAGCCCGAUCUUCUCAAAUGACUCAAAAGGUAGAGAUCCUUAACUUCCAUGAGCAUGACUAUUUUGGUUCCAUAUAAAAUUGGCUCAUGCUUAUUGUUUAAAUGUUUUAUGUCUCUAUUCAUCUUCGAAAAUGUCUCUUUCUCACUUAUCCAAUUCAAGACUAAAUCAGUUUUCUAAGAUCUGGCCAAAAUUCCGCAUGCAUGUCAUGUCAUUAGAACUAGCAUGAAAAGAACUAUGCACAAAAUGGCUAACUACUUUUGUUUAAUUGAAUAAAGGAUAGAAAGGUCCAAUAGCACAAAAAGAAGAAGAAAAGAUGACAAAAUAAGCUACCAUGACUGAAGGAGGAGUGACUUUCUAGUUACUAAGCGAUAUCUUAGCCACACAUUCGCACAUCAGCACUACUAUGGCAUUUGACCAUUUUGAUUUCUUUGGAUUCAACACUCAAAUUUUGACAAUCAUCCCGAGCAGCCCAUGUCUUAUUGCUCAAAUCUGGUAAAGUCAACCUCACAUUUGCCUCCAUUAAAUUUUUUGCCGCCAAAUUGCCUACUUGCCCUCUCGUGAUCUUGGAUCAACAACAAUGGUGCUUGUUCCAUUGGUUGAGAAGAUGUUUUUAUUUUUGAAAGAUCUUGGAUUGUUUUUGUGACUCGCCAUUGCAAACCAACUACCUUUGACUAGCUUUUAUUUCAAAACAACAGGCAUGUUAGAAUAAACACUCUCUUUCUUUUCUCUUUUUUUUUGUUUUUAACCAUUCGAUCGAACUUGAUGUGGGUUGCCUACGUAUCAUGACGCCGCAUUAAUCAGAUCUUUGCAUAGUUCGAGAAGAUCAGGAAUAAAGUAAAUAAACUAACUUUUUUUGGAUUUUGAAUUUUAUUUUACUUUUUCGAAAGAAAGACUUAUAAAGAAGAAAGAGAAUAGUUUUGGAUUUUGAUUUUUCUUCAGAAUGUUUGCAAAGAAAGACUUCUAAAGAAGAAAGAUUUUUUUUUUUGAAUUUAUGAAAGAAAUACUUCUAAAAAAAGAAAAUAUUUUUGAAUCUUGAAUUUUCUUUUCAAUUUUUGAAGAACAAAAAAAAAAUUGGAUUUUGAGAAGAAACUAAAAGAAAAUAUUUUUCUAUAUUUUAUUUUUUUAAAAAAAAUUGGGGUCUAAAAGAAAGAAUUUCUAAGGAAGCAAGUAAUGGAAAAUAUUUUUGGAUUUUUUUUUAAAAGAAAUUGUGGUCCCAAAGAAUGACUUUUCUAAAGUAAAGGAAAAUAUUUUUGAAGUUUUUUUUAAAAUGUGGGCCGGAACCGAUGAGGUUUGCCUACGUAUCUCAAAUUCGGUAAGAAACAGACCCGCGUAGUUCGGCCGUUUUGACAUAAUUGAAAAAACAUGAUGUUGACUCACUUUCAUUUUUUUGAAAUACAUUUUGUGUUUCUCUUUUUUUCAAAAUUUUGGCAGAAUUUCGAGGCAUUUUAAAUGUGAUGACCCAAAAGAUCAUCACUUGUGUUGCAAUAAAAUUCUACAUUCCGAGGACUUAAAAAACCUCCCUAAGCACCACCUCGAUUUGCGUGCAUCGUCCGGACGCAUAGCCUGAAAGCUUAAAUGUGAAAAUCUGUGAAAAAUGAUAAGUUUUGACGGUAAAAUGAAUAAAUUUGACUUCAAUCAAUAUUUUGGGUAAACGGACCCGGACCCGUGAUUUGACGGUCCUGGAGGGUCCGUAGGAAAAUAUGGGACUUGAGCGUAUGCCUGGAAUCGGAUUCCGAGGUCCCAAUCCCGAGAAACGAAUUUUUUAAAGAAAAUUAUUUUCUAAAAUUGUUUAAAGAAAUUUGAAAUGAAAUUUGUUUAGAACAUGGUGGUAUCGGGCCCUUAUUUUGGUUCAGGCAUCCGGUACUGGUCUUAUAUAUGAUUUAAGACAUUUCUGUGAAAUUUGGUGAAAAACGGAUGUCAUAUGACUGUAUUCGGACUUAAAUCGCAAAAUUUAUGUUUAACGAAGUUUUGAGAAAAUUUCAUUGAUCUCGAGAUUUAAUGUGAUGUUCAUGAUGUUAUUUUGAUUAUUUGAUUACACGAAUAAGUCCGUAGGAUGUUUUUGAGGUUUUGUGUGCGCUUGGUAUGGAGUUCCAAGGGCUCGGGUGAGUUUUGGGUAGGUUUCGGGGGGUCUAAGGCUUAAAAACUGAGCUUUUGCAGGCUCAGAGUGGUAGAGGACCUCUGAACAGGCAUGCGGUCUGCACGAUAUGGACUGUUGCCACGGAGAAGCCUGUGCGGCCGCACUAGUUUUGGUGCGGUCCGCGAUGAAGAACAAUUUACUGGUCCAACUUCGGAAGUCUAUAUCUUUUUAUCUACAGAGAAUUGUGAGAUAUUUCAAAAACAAAAGUUGUAGCUCUUCGUGUCUAGUUUCCAGAAAUGCAAAGAAUUCACAAUUUGGACAUCUUUAGAGAAAGUUAUGGCCGAAAUACGUAGACCUGUCACUGCAGAACACAGGAAGCCUGUGUGGCCGCAGUUGAUUUUGUGCGGUCCGCACACGACAUCUGAGGGCAGUAUAUUUAGACGGGAUUUUCAGUUAUUUUUCAUUUUUUAAGACCCCAAAAACAUAAGAGGCGAUUUUUCAAACAACCUUUCUUCUCCAAAGCAAUUGUAAGAAGUUUUUAACUAGUUUUCUUCAAUCAUUAACAUCUUUUAACAUGAUUUCAACUUCAAAUCAAUGAUUUUCAUUGGGGAAAUUAGGUGUUUUGGUAGAACCUAGGUUUUUCAAAAAUUGGGUAUUUCGACCUCGAUUUGAGGUCCGAUUUCAAAACAAAUACAUAUUUGAGCUCGUGGGGGAAUGGGUAAUCGGGUUUGGUUUAAACCUCGAUUUUGACCACGUGGGCCUGAGGGUGAUUUUGACUUUUUGGGGUAAAACUUUAGAAAACUCAUUUUCAUGCAUUCAAAUUGAUUCAUUUAAUGUUUAUUGAUGUAAUUAAGUAACUUGUAGCUAGAUACGAGCGAAUUGACGGAGGAAUCAAGGGGUAAAGCUAUAAUUGAAACUUGAGUUGUGUUCGAGGCAUCGAGGUAAGUGUUUAGUCUAACCUUAGCUUGAGGGAUUAGGAGUUAUGUCAUAUUUGCUAAUUGCUUCUUGUUGAGUACGACGUAUAGGCAUGGUGACGAGUAUCUAUACGUUGGUGACAAGCAUGACCGUGGGUCUUAUUUUGUGAUUUUCAUGACUUCGUUGUAUUAUUCAUGCCAUGGUGAAGAUUUCUAUUUGUUGUGUAAAGUUGUGGAAAGAAUUGUGACCUAUGAACAUUGAGGAGCGUUGGCUCCAGUAGUAUAACGAAUUGUGAAAUUAUAAGUGAUAAUUGAAACUCUAGAGUAUUGGUUCGAGUUGUGAAGUGAAUUGUGAAGUAAAAGUGAGAAGGAGAAGAGAUCAUUAUGUUUCCCCCUUACUGGGCUAUUUUUGAGUUGUGGUUCCCUUGCAUUGUGUUCUUAAUUGAUAUUACGAAUGCAUAGGUUGAUUCUUUGGGUUAGGUGUUGUAACAAGUUUAGUUAUAGCUGAGGUAGUUAGGUGUCGUAACAAGUUUGGUUAUAGCUGAGGUAGUUAGAUGUUGUAACACGUUUGGCUAUAGCAGAGGUAGUUAGAUGUUGUAACAAGUUUGGCUAUAGCAGAGGUAGUUAGAUGUUGUAACAAGUUUGGCUAUAGCUGAGGUAGUUAGAUGUUGUAACAAGUUUGGUUAUAGCUAAGGUAGUUAGAUGUUGUAACAAGUUCGGUUAUAGUUGUUUCUCCCUUGCCGGGAUAUUGUGAGAUAUCAUUGUUUUCUUACCGGGAUGUUUGUUGAUAUUAUUGUUCCCUUGCCGGAAUUCCUUGUGAUUAUUGUUGGCUUGUAAUUGGGAGCGGGUGGUACGCCUACCACAAGAUACAAUGAAAUGUGAGCGGGUGGUACGCCUACCACAAGAUACAAUGAAAUGGGAGCGGGUGGUACGCCUACCACAAGAUACAAUGAAAUGGGAGCGGGUGGUACGCCUACCACAAGAUAUAAUGAAAUGGGAGUGGGUAGUACGCCUACCACAAGAUACAAUGAAAUGGGAGCGGGUUGCACGCCUGCCACGAGAUACAUGAAAUGGGAGCGGGUGGCAUGCCUGCCACAAGAUAUGAGAAAUGGGAUCGGGUUGCACGCCUGCAACAAGAUGUGAAAAGAAAGUGAAAUCUGCCUUUGUUUUUCUUUAAUCUUGUUAGUGGUUGGAUUCCUUUAUAUUCUAUUGAUAUUCUGUUUUUACUUGUUUUUCCCCGAAGUAUGUUCCCCCCUCCCUAGUUUUAAUUGUUUAUUUUCGUAUUUCUUUUCCGCUAUAUAUAUUUGAACUUCAUAGGUUUAUUUGGUAGUUUGGUCCUGGCCUCAUCACUACUUCGUUGAGGUUAGGCUAGGCACUUACCAGCACAUGGGGUCGGUUGUGCUGAUAAUACACUCUGCACUCUUUUGUGCAGACCCCAGUGUUGUGGACUUCGGACCGUGGUGAGAUUGUUGAUUCUUGAUCAUCAGGCGACCCGAGGUAGUCCUGCAGGCAUCCGCGGGCCUUGGCGUCCCCUUCUAUCUACUAUUCCUAUUUUUUUCAUGCAUUUCUAGAGACAGUGUUGUAUUUAUUUCUUUCAGAACCUUUAUUUGUAGUAUUCUUAGACCGUCUGUGAAACUGUGACACCAAUUCUGGGUGAUUAAGGUUUAAGCUGUUGUAAUAGAUAUAUGUUCAGAUAUUCUAUUGUUUUCUUCCACUUAUUCUGAAUUUCCGUUGUUUACCCGUUAUUGUUUUAUAUAAUGUUAAAGAGAAUAGAAAUUGGUAAAAAGGUAAAUUGUCUAAUAAUUGGCUUGCCUAGCUAACAUUAGUAGGCGCCAUCACAACUCCCGAGGGUGAAAAAUUUGGGUCGUGACAUUAAAUACUGGGUUUUCAGAACCGGGUGAAUUCUCUAUCCUACCUCACUCUUGGUUUUUCUGUUGUUUUUCUUUUGUUAGCCGGUCAAUAUAUAAACCGAAAAGAAUAAAUGUACACAUAGCAUGUAAGAUACAUCAGGAUGGUCUGGUCUUUUGGGUACACCUGUCCUAGACGGACCCAACCCCUGUGUUGAGUCCCCAAAGUUAAAUGCACGUGAUGCAAACAAACGCUCCUACUAGGGAUCCGGCAUGAGGUUAUGUUAUUCUAGGUUUAAACCUUGGGUUGUGUUCUUGAUCAGGCUUACCCGAGCGGACAACUCGAGCCGAAGAGUGGGCAAACGUACCGGGAGCACGAAAGUCUACCCGGCCUUGUUGCUGGCCCAGCCUCGUUCUAUUUGGUAUAACUUCUAACAGAAAAGUGGGCCACGAACGUGUGCACCAUUUUUUAGAAGACUCAGGUGGGAGGCGUAAGAAAACAAUUUAAUAUAAUUCAAAUAAUAUCAAAGCGGUAAAUAAGCGGCAAUAAGCACAUUAGGUCCACAAAUACAGUAAUAUCAACAAAUAAUAAAGCCAAGCAUAGAUCAUAUUAACAAGCUCGAAUUCUGAACCCUGAACCAAAGAUCAUGGGUUCUUUUCCCCAGCAGAGUCGCUAGAGCUGUCACACCUCCUUUUUACACCCAAGAGGGGAUAUAAGGGAGUUUUUCAAAUUAAAGUGAUAUUAUUCGAAAUUGGAUUAUUUAUUUAAUUUUCAGAGUCUCCACUUGGAAUAAUUUAUGGUGUCCCAAGUCACCGGUUUAUUUUAAAGACCAAAUCGAGGAAAUUUCGACUUUAUUUUAAAAGUCUGCGAACCAGAAAUUCUACGUAAGGAAUUUUGUUAACCCGGGAGAAGGUGUUAGGCAUUCCCGGGUUCCGUGGUUCUAGCACGGUCGCUUAGUGAUUUGUACUUAGCUUAAGUCGUUUAACUACUCAUUUUUAGGACUUAUGUGCAUUUAUCUUUUUACCGCUUUUAAUCACUUGAUUUGUUCGUAAUGAAAGAAUUGAGUUAUGCGUACGUAUACUCAUUUCCUUUGGCGCGUCAAAAAUCAUGUCAUGCGUACGUGUCCAUAAUUAAUCACGCUUUAUUAAUUAAUAAGAAAACUUGGUUGAAGUUGCGCGAACGCAUCCCUCGAUUUAUUUUUUAGAAUUAAAUUCGUAAUUCUGUUAUGCGAACGUAUAUAUAAUCACAAUAAUAGUCUAAGCCAUGCCUAAAGCAAACUAACAGUGUUCAUUAUUCUUCCUAAAAUUUGAGAUUAUUGUGAGGCUUAAGAGUUAUACAUCCUUCUGACUUAGCACCACUCAUGGCAUAUUAUUAUUCCUUGCCAAGAAAGAAAUAACUCCAAAUUUUCCAUCUACCCAAAUUAAAAGCAUUUAUUCGAGAACCAAGACUACGUACAUCACAAUCGAAAUAAAAACUAAUUAAAAUAAUUUAAUUUCAAACUAAGUCAUGCCACUCAAACAAUGUAGAAACAAAAAUCAACCAACACACGCACCAAGCUAUUGUAAGAACAAUGAAAUGAGAAUAAAAAUUGAGAAAUAGGCCUUUUAUUGAUGAACAAAACUAAAUAUUGCAAAUCAAUCAGGCUGAACAAGGCAACAAUCUUGAGAUUGAAACAUCAAAAUUAAGAAUCGGAACCUCAAAUCGACACAGGAGAGCUCGAAACCCAAAUCGACCUCAGAUAAACUAGAACCUCCAAACAUCUGACAAAGCAGACCAUCUCUUAAUAUUUUUGCUCUUUAAAAUGUUUACCACUGCCGAAAACUUUGUGAACAGGAUGUUCCCUACCAAAAAGCCGACGAACUUUAGACUUAAACCACGACGUUACGGGAGGAGAUGACGUUGUUUUCUUAUCGUCAUCAGAAUAAGAAAAAGACGAAGAAGAGUGAUGGUUAUUAUUACUGAGAUAAAGUGUUUCAGUGAUUUUAUUUUUUAUAGAUUCUCUGGCUCAUCCGAUUUCUCCACUUUACACUCCUCGUGUUCCUACAUUAUCAGUAAAGUAAAACCCAAAUCUUGAAAUUCAGUCAAGUUAUGUGUCUAUUGUAUCUGAGAGAAAAAGUUGUAAAGAUUCAUUUUUGUGUGUUUGUAUUUCUUUCACUUUUUAAUUUUUUUGGAACAAAACAAGGAAAAGAUCAUAGAAUAAAGAUGAAAAACCUUAGCAAUCCUGUCGUUUUUAGUGUAGCUCCUAAGUCUAGGUAUUGAAAACUUAGGGUUGGGUUCCUAUAAUUGGGUAUUUUAUAUGGAGGUGGAAAGGGAUGAUGGCAAUUGGAUUAGAAGGGAAUAGAUGGCUAGGAUUAAAUCUUGCACUUAAGUGGGCUAAUGGGUUGGGAAGAAUGGGCUAAGGGUAAUUGGGUUGGACCAUGUCUUUUGGAUUUGAACUUAGGCUAAAAAGACCAAAUAAUACAAUGUAUCUAUAAAAAUGUAAAAAUCACUCUAAAUUAAAAUAAACUAAUAUAAAACUAAACACUACGAGUGAAACUAAUUUUUUGUAUUUUCAAAUGUUAUAAUACUAUAAAUAUAAAUAUACUAAUUGACUUUAACCUAAAGAUGAAAAUAUUUAUUUUAUUUUUUUUNNNNNNNNNNNNNNNNNNNNNNNNNNNNNNNNNNNNNNNNNNNNNNNNNNNNNNNNNNNNNNNNNNNNNNNNNNNNNNNNNNNNNNNNNNNNNNNNNNNNNNNNNNNNNNNNNNNNNNNNNNNNNNNNNNNNNNNNNNNNNNNNNNNNNNNNNNNNNNNNNNNNNNNNNNNNNNNNNNNNNNNNNNGUAAUUUUUAUUUUUUGUGAUAAAAUAAAGUAAAAGAGUCAAAACUAUUUAAUAUAAUGAUAUUAAACCUAAACUAAAUAUUUUACGCUAAAACGUGUAAAAUCUUGGGGAGGGUCAAAAAUUACAUGUCUACAGACUAGGAAUAUUAUCCUUCCAACCAUGUUGUAGCCAAUUCUGAUAGUAUUCAUUCUAGGUCCAAUGACCUCAUCUCAUCCAACACAACCACUCUAAUGACAUGACACAUCAAUACAGUCCAAAGCCAUAACCUGUGCAACUCGUGCACCCAAUAGCAACAUCCCCAAAUGUACUCAAAUCAUGAAAAAAAUGACUCAAACGGGAGGACUAUCCCGCAAGCUUAACAAGUACUGCCACAAUGAAAUACUGUAAAUUCAUCACACCCCGUAGGACCAUCACACGAAUCUAACACAGGUUCAUACCUCAACAUAAUUUUGCUGCAAUGUGUGCCCCAUCCAAACACUAAUCCAUGGCAUAUACCUCAAGCCACCUUGCUCAAAAUCAAUAACCACGCGCAACGACAUCAAGUACUCAAAGUGCAUUACCAUAACCAUGGAGAAGCAAAUGACAUAACACCACAUGAAACCCGAAAGAGCAUAACCAAUAUGCUAUACAUCAAGCGAUAUCCAAUACUCUUCUCGCUCAAAUCCGUUAUAGGACUCCAAUAGAACCACACUAUAUGUGUAUACAACCAACAAAUCAUGACCCCUCAUAAUAUAGAAGAGUAGCUCAUAGAUCACUCCAGAACACGAAUAAGCUCAACAAUAAUCGAAUGGCACAUCCCUCAAUAAUAGCAAUUCAAAGUCAACAAAUCUGACCCGGUACAGAACACACCUCCAUGUUGGGCCUACCAAUGAACCCCAAAUCUACUCUGGUCCCCCACGAUAGAUAAAUAACCCUCUGAAAGUCUAAAUGACUGAAUCACAACAUAUACUAACCUCUGACUAAACUUGGAUACUUUUUACGGUCGACAACCACGAAACAAUCUACUCACCAGAACUCUCAAUCUCUAAAUCCAUAGAAUAUACGAAUCACCAUCUCUGAUCUCAACUCCACCGCCUAAAUGCCCAUACUUCUCCAAUUACACAGUCACCCCACGAGGAAUACUUCUAGAAGUCUUCUAUACCACAAAGCAAAAAUUGAACUCCAGCAGUCGAUCAAACAAGAGAGUGUCGCAAUACCAAUAAAGUAUCCAUAACUCCCACACAUCGCCCUUUCUGAAAUGUAUAAUCUCAUUAAGCCAUACCAGUUAGUAAUAUCAUUUACCUAGUCAUCAGAAAUUGUCCAUGUUGCUUAAGAAUUUAUGACCUUCCUUUCAGAAUUGAACUGUGACCUUACACAUGCAAAUCCCAACCUUACACAACUUACCACAUAUACCAUGUCAUCCCAUGAUAAAUAUGAGAACUUCAUAAUCCACUUCGAGUCACAAGCAACUAAGUACUCAACUAGCCAAGAACUUUUCAUUUGACCCCAUCUAGGAGAAGAUCACUACACAUCACAUGAUCCUCACGCCAGUAGAAGAUAUACCUCUCUAACCAUGGUAGAAACCACCAAGAACUCUCUGAAUCCCAUUUGCUCAAAACCCAACCGUCAGGAUUGAAUCCUUCUACCCCAACCAAGCUACACAUGUCACCAAAACUCAAGCGCAUCACCACGAAACACAUGUAGAAACUCAUUACCUCAUAAACACCCAAAGAACUAAUCAUACCCAUUACCAUGUCAAUCCAACCUACUACCAAGCUAUCCUAUUUAUUCGAGUUCCUUCUGAAUUGCAUUCACAUUGAUACUUCUCCUCACCAUAAUACCUCAAUCCUCAAUCCAGACUCACCACAUGAGACCCUAACAUAAACCACACUGCCCUAAGGCUCAUAAGCCGCUGAAUGCUCUCUUAAGCACCCCAAAAGUACCACAAUCGAGAUACUCACUCCAAAGAGACCUUCUAUGAAUUUCAAGUUGUUCAUCUUACUUUCUUGAUACUGAAAUGUAUAAUCCACAAUGAUGUAGAAACACUGCGAGCCUCGACACUAUCCAAUGUAACUCUUAGCUUCAAGCCACAUACGAACCCCCAAAAAUUCUCAAUUGCCAUAUAUAAAUAUUGAAUUCAUUAGAACCAUUCUCGAGAGUUAUCCACUCUGCUUAAAUCUUGAUUAGACAGAUCAAAUGGGCUAAUCGACCUUAGCCCCAUUAGCACUCCAACACCCAAGGAUGUAACCCCACCUAAAUGCAACCAGAUAAAUUUCUGCUCCACGAACAUUAUAUCCUUAACCAAUAAGAACUCAAAUCAUUCCAUGAUUCUCAUAUACUCAUAUAAUCUAAUAAAACUCAUACCCAGAAAUUUCCUUUACUCGAGUCAUCCUUGAUCUCAACCUCUGCAAGUCAUAACUGAUUCACCAGUAUACCUCAAACUGAAACUAAUAUGACACUUAGUCGUGCAAUCAACUUAUCAAUAGUAGACUCCCCCCUUGGAUAAAAGCCAUAGAUCAAAACACACAAAAACUCACAAUGUCCAUACUCUAUUACUUCCAUAAUACCAUAGUGAGAUUGAACUAAAUCCUUCAUAAGCUUGUUCAACACAACCAUCUAGUACUUCAAUCAUCUACAAAUCUCGCAUUUACCCUCGUAAUAGUCAAGACAACUCUCAUACGCGAUCCAAACUCAAUCUGCAGCAUAUAUAAUUCACUGGUAAAGGAAGACUCGCUACAAAAGAGCAUAGGGAUCACACGCCCUCAGGACACCCUACAGGAGAUAACCCACCUACUUUGCCUCAAACUAACAUCUCUUUAUACCUUUCCACCAUCAUAAACAUCACGCAAUCACUUAAUAUUCCUGAGUCUGAACUCAUAUCAUGACAUAAAAUCUACUUCGUUCCCCAACUAAACAAUAUGAAAAGAUCCUUCAACACACCCAUAACUCGGGGCUAUUCAUCAAAUCAAGAUGGAAAUCAAGAACCAAAUAGUUCUUUCUACCCUCAAGAAGACCCUCCUCAUCACAUCCAAAUCAUAUGAACAUAUCUCGCAGUCACAUCAUACUCAUCACGUAGCCAUCCAGUCAUUACUUCCACUAAUAUGGACACUACCGAACAUAUAAAUCCAAAAGCACGCUCUCACACAAUCAACACCUUAGUGCUCAAGCUAGAGGCAAAGCCCGGACCCAAGUCAUCCAGACUGGCCCAACAUCAACACACAAAAAUCACAUCUCGCCUCUCAUUUAGGGAAUCACAAGCCGUCGAUGCACAGCUGAUACCAAGUGCUCAUGCGCGCAUAUGAAUGCGUGGAAGGAAUUUCAAGAGUUACAUUUCAAGAUGAAUCAAUGCCGCACGACAAGAAUUUCAAGAAUGUGGGAUUUCCUAAAGGUUUUGCAGCCUCUCAAAGAUAGGUACAGACGUCUUUGUACCAAUCCGUGAGACUCUACUAAACCUUUCAUGACUCGUGAGACCUAUGUAACCUAGGCUCUGAUACUAACUUGUCACGAACUAAAACUAACCCUAUCGUGAUGGCGCCUAAAGUGGUACUAGGCAAGCCGAUACACUACCAAACCCAAUCACUAUUUUUAUUUUUAAGACAAAACCAAAGUUAUUUAACAAUAAACCAGCAUAAGGAGCUUAAAUCAAAACAACAGUGCGGAAAAAAAGCCCGACAUCAGGGUAUCACUAGUCAUGAGCAUUUACUACAACCGUCUGACAACAUCAAGACUAACAUAGCCUAAAAAUAACUGAAUACAACUAAGGGAGGAUAAAGAGGGAGAAAAGUAGGGCUGGGAUUGUCAGGCAGCUACCUUACUAACUCUGAUGGACCGUCCAUUGAUUAAUCAACACCCGCUAUCGGGUUUAGAAAUACCCGGAUCUACACACAAUGUGCCGGGAGUAAUGUGAGUACAUCAACUCACUAAGUAAUAAAAGUAAAUAGAGACUGAGCAGUAAAACCAUUUAAAACAUCUUUCAACAGUCUUCAAUGAAGUGAUGAAACAGUGAGUAAAAAUGGUGAAAACAUAUACAGCCCCUUAGGCAAAACUCACUCGUAUAUAGCCCCUCGGCAAACAUCACUCGUGAACAUCCCCUCGGGCAAACAUGAAUCAUAAACAGCCUCUCGGGCAAACCUCACAAUCACUCAUAUACAGACCCUCGGGCAUUACUUCAUAUCACUCGUAAACAGCCCCUCGGGCACAAUAUGAAUCAAGAACAGCCCCUGGGGCAAAACAUCGUAUCACUCACUCAGGGUACCCAUGCUCACUAGGGCUGUACAGACUCCGGAGGGGCUCCUACAACCCAAGCACUAUAACAAGUGACCUCGUGGAAUAAAUCAAUCAGGCCCUCCUUUUUAUCACUCGAGGGGUAUAUAAGAGAGUUUUUCCAAUUAAAGUGACAUAAAUCGAAAUGGAAUUAUUUUAUUUAUUUAUCAGAGUCUCCACUUAGAAUAAUUUAUUUGGUGUCCCAAGUCACCGGUUUAUUUUAAAUCCUAAGUCGAGGAGAAUUUGGACUUUAUUUAAAAUCUGCAAAACCAGAAAUUCUAGAUAAGGAAUUCUGUUAACAUGGAGAAAGUGUUAGGCAUUUUCGAGUUUCAUAGUUCGAGCACGGUCGCUUAACUAUUAAUAAUUGGCAUAUUAUCUAAUUUAUUACAUGUUUUAAACCUAGUGUGCAUUUUUAAAUUUAUUUAUUUAAAUCGCUUUUUAGGAUAUAUGGAAUUUAUUUUUUUGAACAAGUUACGAUUAUCGUACACUUGUCAUUUUGGAACAUACCGCAAAACACGCCACAUGAAAUGCACCCGUGAUUCGCGAUAUGUUUAUUUUAUUAUUGUUCAAAGUUGUUAUGAUCGGGUCACAUGAAGUGCACACCUGAAUUUGGGUUAGGUAUCAUGACUAUGCCACGGGAAUCGUACCCACAGUCACGAUGAUUUAUUAAUCGCGCCUAAAGCAAGCUACGAUGUAUUUAUUUGGUCCUAAAUUGAAUAUGUAGUUUAUUUGGUCCUCGAGUUGUCUUAUAUUUUAGAAUUUAUUAGUAGUUGGAUAAGGAACUCAUUUAGCCUUUGACUUUUUAACCUGAAGCUAUCUUUGGCUUUUCUGCAUUGUGUUCCACCAAAUGGUUGAUUGAAGUCAAGCGCAAGAGCCAAAUGUAUUUGCAUUUUCAAAUAAUAUCAAAACACAUCCAAGGAAAGGAAGUAAGGAAUAAAAAGGGAAACUAUGCCAUGUUCAUUAUAAAGGGUUAUGUGUACAGAUUUACCAACCCUAAGUAUCUCACAGAAUGAAGCUAAAGGCAAAAAAAACACAGUAUCUUAUAAUCGAGGGAAAUCGCAGAAAAACAAAGCGAACACUUGACGAGCUGUGAAAGUAUAUCAUACACAUAUGUCAUCAAACACAGGAAUAAAAAGCAAAUCCAUCUAAUUAGCUUUCAUCAAACACAGAAAUAACCAAAACAUGCAGCAAAUUUAAAAUAAAAAGUAGCAGACCGGUACUUGGGCAGAACGAACAAAAUAGCUUAUCAUAGCUAAAGCACAUGUCAUAGGUAUAAAUUAUAUAUACUGUUUUUCAACAAACAAACAACCACAUUAAGACCACAUCCUUAGGAAUUGAUUAAGUGCUACUGAUUACUAACAACAUGAGGACAUUGAACAGGGUGAUUUCAAACCAUUAUAUGCCUAUUUGUAUUAAUUUGUUACCGUUUGAAAUAAGAUCUCAAAACACAAACAAAUCGUAUAGCAUUAUUAGGAAAGGAUAAUUGCAUAGAUACAACAAUAAUCAGAAAUUCAUUGAAGACAAAAGGAAUUCAUUCAUUUUUUGACUUAACGGUGGCGUAAAUCACAACAAAGUACCUGCGUGUGUAGAUAUCACCUCCAAAACUCCAACUAAAGGCUAGAUGAGAAAUGAGCUUAGCACAGCGGAAAACCAAUAGAUCCGAACAAGGAGCAACAGCAAAUUUUCAACCAUAGUAGCAUUUUAAAACCCAGAAAAAUAGAAACAAACAGUAGCGGUUUGUUCCAGCCUUGGAGCUCGUCAGCGAGGGAAGCUCAGGCACAAGAGGGAUUUAUAGGAGGAGAAAUUGAAGUGUUGAUGGCUGUUUUUGGGACUUUUUGGUAUAGGAAUUUCAGUUGGGUUUUCAGAGCUUUUACAUGGGUUUGGGGCUGAUUUGAGCUCGAGUAUUAGAGCUGAAAAUGGUGGUGUUCGUGGUGUUCUAAGAGAGGUCCAUGGCUGAAAUUUUGGGCUAAUCCCAUCCCCCUUUCGUUUUUCUUUUCCCGGAUCCCCUCUCUCACUGUAUCGUCCUACCUUCCUCUCUAUCUAUGUGUGUCUUUUUUCAAUUGAAAGAAAGAAGCCAUCUCAAAUCAGAAGGGGAAAGAGGCUGAGGUACUACCGCUAGAAGCUAAUCUCAGAGGAAAGGAUUUGUUGUCUUUGCUCUCUGUUAGAAGUGAGGAAGAAGAAGAUGGGUGAGCUAUUUUGGAAGAUGAUGAGGGAAUGCAGAAGAAGGGGAAAAGCUGCGCUGUUUUGGGUGUUAGGGAUCUCCUCAAAUAAGGUCUAUUAAUGUGUGUUAGGUCUGGGGAUUUAAGGGUAAAAAUGGGGAACGGGAAGAUUGGGCUGGGGUUUAAAAGUUAAUUUGAGUCAUAUUUGGAAUUGGCCCAAUUUUAAAAGAAACAAGACCAAAAAUAUAUUCUUUCUAUUUUUAUUUUCUUUGUUUUUUUUUUCCUUUUUCUUUUUCUUUGAUUUUAAAUUCUAAUUAAAUUAAUUAAGAUCCUAAAUCAAUUUAUUUUUUGUAGAAAUUAAAAUUCUUUAUUUAUUUUUAACAUUAAACGACUAAUUAACUUAAAACUAAAGAAAAAUACUAAUUUUAAAGACUAAACUCUAAAUAUGUAACAUGACUAUUUUUUGUGAUUUUGGCUUAAUAAAAUUAAUUCCUAGAUGCAAAUUGAACCUAAGAUGGCAUGAAAUUAAAACGUGAUAAUUUUUAUGAUUUUUCUAUGAUUUUAAAAUAUUAAAAAUGCAUGAAAUGUAACUAAAUAAGGAAAACUCCUAAAAAUCAAUUAAAAUUAUUUUGGUCUAUUUUUAGGAGUUAUUUUCAUGUAGGGCAAAAAUUAGGUGCUCACAUUUGUCCCUCUUUGCUCGGAAACAUGAAGAGUUUUCGGGCAAAGAUAAAGUGAGUGAUUAAGAGCAAUAUUUGCCCGUUUGAAACUCUAUUGGAAGCAUUUUGAAAAAGUUAGACCGAACCUUGCUUCGGAGGUUGUCUACAUAUCCUUGGCUAUAAAGGAAUCAGGUCGGUGUAGUUCUGAAAGUUUUGGUAGCUGGGACUAUUGAAAAACUGUGAUUUCACUAUUGUUGCUGCUGUUUCUGCUUGCUGAGCUCCUUAUUACAUCAAAAUGAAAAAUAAAAAACUAAACUAGCUAAGCCUAUCAACUAUGAAUUACAAUAUUCCUAUCUAUAAACCUUCUAAAGUUUGAUCAUGAGUCUUGGCUGGUUCUUCCUACAGACUCUGAUCUGAAUCUUGAUGCUCGUUAGUUGCAACCGCUGGUUCAUUUUCUUCAGCUUUUUGAAACAAGGCCGGACAUGCAAAGCUUGUGACUUUAAUCAUAUCUUGAGUAGUCCACAUCUUUUCUCCGCUUUUACAUUUAGAGUUCACUUCUUUUCUUGUUCCUCUUUUGGUCAUCUCAAACCUCGUGCCUCAUGGUAAAAACUUGUUCAUGAACCAAUACAAACAAAUGAACAAAACUUUUCUGCCCUAGUUUUCACUAGGAAAAUUUCGUGAGUUAUUGUAACAAAAUUUAAACUACUUCUUUAUUGAAAGCAAUAAAAUCAUGAUUGUGUAUACUUGAGAAAAAGAGAUUAGGGAGUGGAGACCCUAUAUCUAAAAUGAAAUCAAAUGGGGAUCGGAGGCCCUAAGUUGGAAAGAUUAUCAGGUUAUGCUAGCAUCAAAUAGGGAGUGGGACCCUAUACUGGAAAAGACUAUCAGGUUAUGUUGGUAGAGUCAACGGGUUAUGCCGGAAAAGUCCUCGGCUUAUGUCGGAAAAGUCAUCGGGUUAUGCUGGGGAAGUCAUCGGGUUAUGCCGGAAAGGUUCUCGAGUUAUGUCGGGGAAGGUCCUCGGGUUAUGCCGCGGAAGUCAUCGAGUUAUGCCGGAAAGGUCCUAGUCAUCGGGUUAUGCCGGAAAGGUCCUUGGGAUAUGCCGGUGAAGUCAUCAAGUUACGCUGGAAAGGUCCUCGGGUUAUGCUAGGGAGGUCAUCGGGUUGUGCCGGAAAGGUCCUCAGAUUAUGCCGGGGAGGUCAUCGGGUUAUGCCGGAAAGGUCUUCGGGUUAUGCUGAGGAAGUCAUCGGGUUAUGCCAGAAAGGUCCUCGGGUUAUGCCAGAAAAAGUCAUUGGGUUAUGCCGGAAAGGUCCUCGGGCUAUGCCGGGGAAGUCAUCGGGUUAUACCGGAAAGGUCCUCGGGUUAUGCCAGGGAGGUUGCGUUAUGCCGGAAAGGUCCUUGGGUUAUGCCGGGGAAGUCAUUAGGUUUGUCGGAAAUAGGAAUGAUGAGUCAGUGCAUCCAUCACCAGGGCAAAUAGGAAUGGGCUGAGCGCAGACCCUUGGUGCAACCCCGUAACAACAGGAAAGUGUUUAGAGUCGCCUCCUACUGUCCUAACCCGAGUUUUAGCUCCAACAUACAUGUCUUUAAUCACCCUAAUAUAGUCAACUGGGACCCCUUUAUCCUCUAAGCAGCUCCAUAAGACCUCCCUAGGAACCCUAUCGUAUGCUUUCUCCAGAUCAACAAACACCAUGUGGAGAUCCUUCUUCUUAUCCUUGUACUGUUCCACCAUCCUCCUAAUAAGAUGGAUAGCUUCUGUGGUAGAUCUCCCUGGCAUGAACCCGAACUGGUUGUCUGAAAUAGACACCGUCCUUCGCACUCUCAUUUCUACCAUUCUCUCCCAAACUUUCAUGGUAUGACUUAGUAAUUUGAUGCCCUUAUAGUUGUUACAGCUCUGGACAUCACCUUUGUUCUUAUACAACGGAACCAUUGUACUCCACCUCCACUCUUCAGGCAUCCUAUUAGUCUUCAAUAUAACACUAAACAAUCCAGUAAGCCAUUCCAAGCCUGCUCUACCCACACACCUCCAAAUUUCAACCGAAAUUUCGUUUGGCACGGUAGCUCUGCCCCUUUCAUCUUACGCAUUGCCUCCAUGACUUCAUCGAUGUCAAUGUCCCUACAAUUACUUAAUUCAUGGGGACUGUCGGCAUUCCUCAAUUCCCCAAGUAUAAUAUCCUGAUCCCCUUCUUCACUUAGAAGUUUAUGAAAGUAGGUCUGCCACCUUCUCUUAAUCUGCUCAUCUCCCAUCAAAACUUUUCCGUCAUCAUCUUUUAUGCACCUCACUUAGUCCAGAUCCCGAGUUGUCCUCUCUCUCGCCUUAGCGAGUCGGAAUAACUUCUAAAGAAAAGCGAAAAUAUUUUUGGACUUUAAUUAUUCAAAAAAAAAAUAAGAUUUAUAAAGAGGGGAAAGAUAUUUUUUCUUGGAUUCUUUCUUUUCUGACUUUUUUUUUGGAUAUUUUGAAAAAAGUACUUCAAAAUAAAGGAAACUUGUACUUCGGAUUUUGAUUUUUUAUUGAUUUUCUUUUUUAUUUCCUUUUUUUCGUAUGAAAGACUUAGAACAAAGGAAACUAUUUUUUUGAGUUUAAAAAUAUUUUUUUUAAAAAACAAAAAUUUCUAAAAUAAUGCUUCUAAAAAAUGAAUUAAAUGAAAAUAUUUUUUGGGGGGGAUUUUUAAAAAUUGGGGCCGAAACCGAUGAGUUUUGCAUACGUAUCUCACAUCCGGUGAGAAACAGACCCGCGUAGUUCGGUCACUUUUGACGGAACAGGGAAAUAUGGCACUUGAAUAUUUUGGCUCAAUUUGGAAUGACCUUUCUUCUUCUCUUUUUUCACAAUUUCAGCAGAGUUUCAGGAUAUUUUCAAGUACUUGGGUUUUUUGAGAACCUGGUGAAUUUUCUCUUUCCUAGCUCACUCUGAUUUUUGUUUUCUUUCUUCUUUUUCUUCUUCUGUUUUUUUUUAUUUUCUUUCCCUAUUCUAGAAGCCGGUCAACAUGCAAGCCGAAAGAAACAGAUGCGCAGGUAGCACGUAAUAUGCAUCAGGAUGGUCUUUUAAUUUGGGGACCUGUCCUAGACGGACCCAACCCCUGUGUUGGGUCCCCAAAGUCAGAUGCACAUGAUGCAAACAAGUGUUCCUACUAUGGAUCCGGCAUGAGGCUGUGUUAUUAUAGGUUUAAAAUCUGGGUGUAUUGUUCUAGACCUGGCUUACCCAAGCGGACCAUUCGAGCCAAGGGGGGCUACGUACCGGGAACCAAAAGGUCAUUCGGCUUUAUAACUUGUCCGAACAUCAUUCUAAAUUAGGUAUGACACUAACAGAAAAGAAGUCAUGCCAGCGUGUACUUCCCAGAAGAUUAGAAGAGAAGGGUUAGCAGUUUAUAUGCAUUUCCAAUAAUAUCAAAGCGGUAAAAAGCGAUAUUUAGCACAUUAUGCCCAAGCAUGUAACAAAAAUCAGAUAAUAAAUAAAAUCCAAUUAUAAAAAUUAUUCUAAGUUCGAAUUCUUGAACCCUUAACCAUAGAUUCUGGGUUCUUGUCCCCUGUAGAGUCGCCAGAGCUGUCACACCUCCUUUUUACCACCUGAAGGGGUAUAUAAGUGAGUUUUUCCAAUUAAAGUGACAUAAAUCUAAAUGGGAUCAUUUUAUUUAUUUUUAGAGUCGCGACUUGGAAUAAUUUAUUUGGUGUCUCAAGUCACCGGUUUAUUUCAAAUCCCAAGUCGGGGAGAAUUUUGAUUUUAUUGAAAAGUCUGCAAAACCAGAAAUUCUAGAUAAGAAAUUCUGUUAACCCGGGUGAAGGUGUUAGAUAUUUCCGGGUUCCGUGGUUUGAGCACGGUCUCUUAACUAUUAAUAAUUGGCCGAUUAUCUGAUUUAUUACAUAUUUUAAAUCUAGUGUGCAUUUUUAAAUUUAUUUAUUUAAAACCGCUUUUAGAAUAUAUGGAAUUUAUUUUCUUGAACAAGUUACGAUUAUCGUACACUUGCCAUUUUGGAACACACCGCAAAUCAUGCUACAUGAAAUGCACCCGCGAUGUAUUUGUUAUGAUCGGGUCACAUGAAGUGCACACCUGAAUUUGGGUUAGGUAUCAUGACUAUGCCACGGGAACUGUACCCAUAAUCACGAUGCUUUAUUAAUCGCACCUAAAGCAAGCUACGAUGUAUUUACUUGGUCCUAAAUUGAAUAUGUAGUUUAUUUGGUCCUCGAGCUAUCUUACACUUUAGAAUCUAUUAGUAGUUGGAUAAGGAACUCAUUUAGCCUUUGACUUUUUAACUUGAAGCUAUAUUUGGCUUUUCUGCAUUGUGUUCCACCAAAUGGUUGAUUGAAGACAAGCGCAAGAGCCAAAUGUAUUUGUAUUUUCAAAUAAUAUCAAAACACAUCCAAGUAAAGGAAGUAAGGAAUAAAAAGGGAAACUAUGUCAUGUUCAUUAUAAAGAGUUAUGUGUACAGAUUUACCAACUCCAAGUAUCUCACAGAAUGAAGUUAGACAACAAUGGAUUCCUUGUGAAAUUUUAGUCAAGCUAGGCUCUUGAAUCAAUCCAUUUGACCUUGUAUUGAAGGAGAUAGCUUGGUUUAAAUAUUUGAAAAUGGUGCAGAUUUUUUAAAUACGUAUUCAGUGGCAAUUUCGUAAUUAAUCUAAAAAAAUUUGGCAACCCAAUUCUUAGUAAAAUGACCCUAAAAUUCUCAUAUGAUGUCAAAAUUCGAUGAUUUUUUUUGCUAUGGCUCCGUAAUUAUGAUACGGAUCUAAUGUUUCAAUAACAACAAAAAUCAGAGCUCAUUUGCUUAAUGUAGUACAAUUUAUGCUUGAAAAACGACGUAGAAACAUAAAAACGAGCGCAACACAAACCAAACCUAUCCGAAACUCACUCGAGCCCCUCGGGACCCUGGUCGAACAUACUAAAAAGUCUCAUAUCAUAAUACAGACCAACUUGAGGCCUCAAAACACAAAUAACAAUAUCGAAACGAUGAAUCACACCUCAAUUCGAAAUCAAUAAACUUCAAACUUCAAACUUCCAUAACCGAUGCAGAAACCUAUCAAAUCAUGUCCGAUUGACCUAAAAUUUUGCACACAAGUCAAAUUUAACAUUAUGUACCUGAUCCGACCUCUAGAAUAUGAAUUCGACCCUGAUAUCAAAAAGUCCACUUGCGGUCAAACUUUUCAAAAUUUCAACUUUCGCUAUUUUAAGCCAAAUUCUACUACGGACCUUCAAAUCAGAAUUCGGACGCGCUCCUAAGUCUAAAAUCAUCUAACAGAGCUAACAGAAUCAUCAGAAAUCCAAUCCGAUGUCAAAUUCUAAAAAGUCAAAACUCGGUCAAACCUUUCAAAUUUAAAGCUUCUAGUUGAGAAUCAUUCUUCCAAAUCAAUUCCGAAUAAUCUGAAAACCAAAACUAACAAUUCACAUAAGUCAUAAUACUUCCUACGGAGCUACUCAUACCCUCAAACAACCGAGUGAAGUACAAUUGCUCAAAUGACCGAUCGGGUCGUUACUACAAAAGGCACUGUAAUAAGUACAAAUCAGUGAAUGAACUUUUGAAUACAUCUAAAUACAACAUGCAAAGGUUAGUGGGAUAAUUACAAAUCAGUUAAGGUAUUUUGGAAUACAUAUAAAUACAUUUAUAUACAAUAUACAAAAGUCACUGAAAAAGGUAAAAUUCAAUGAAUGCAUUUUUGAAUACUUAUGAAUACAUCAACAUACAUGUAUACCAUAUCAACAUAAAAGGAGAGAAAGCAAUGUAUCCACUACUGCACACAUAUAAAUACAAUAAAAUACAAUAAGAGAAACCAUUUAGAGAAGGUAAUGCUCAAUGUAUGAGGAGUCAAAUACAUAUAGAUACAUCAACAAUUAUCUUUUCACCCCGUGUAUCCGAGCUAUUUCAUGCAUUGACCUCCUUUCCCUUAACACCAGAAGCAUUAUCCAUAGUGUGACAAUCCGGCCCAUUGUCCCAUGAGUUACCGCUCCUUUUUUCCUACUUCUACUUCUUAUUGCUUUGUCUAUCGGUUCUAUAUGUGAUCAGGUUGGUUGGCUCGGGUUCGAAAAGGAUUUGGUAAGGUUUGAGACACUUAGUCUCUUUUAAGAAAGCUUAAGUUGGAAAAGUCAACCAGAUGUUGACUUAUGUGUUAGAGGGCUCGGAGGUGAGUUCUGAUGGUUCAGAUAGCUUCGGGAGGUGAAUUGGGACUUAGGAGCAUGAUCGGAAUGUGUUUUGGAGGUCCAUAGUAGAUUUAGGCUUGAAUUGGCGAAAUUGGAUUUUUGGCAUUUUCCGAUUGAUAGGCGAGAUUUUGGUAUAGGGGUCGAAAUGGAAUUCCGAGAGUUUGUUGUAGUUCCGUUGUAUCAUUUGGGAUGUGUGUUAAAAAUUUCAAGUCAUUCGGACGUGGUUUGGUUGGGUUUUUUAUCAAAAGCAUAAUUCGGAAGAUUUUUGGAAACUUAGGCUUGAAUCCGAUGUGUGUUGGCUGAUUCGAUGUUGUUUGAGGUGUUUUGAAGAUUGGUAUAAGUUUGAAUAUGGUUAUGAGAUAUGUUUGUGCUUUUAGUUGAGGUCCCGGGGGCCUCGGGGUGAUUUCGGAUGGUUGACGGAGAGUUUGGAAUUUUUGGUGAAGCUUCAGAUUAUCUGCUUCUAUUGUUUCCGCACCUGCGGAUUGGGGACCAUGGGUACGAUGCCGCAGAUGCGAGGAAGAGGGCCGCAGAAGCGGAAGAAGGUAAGGGAGGCAGAAACCACAGAAACGGUUAGAGAACCACACCUGCGAUGGCGUAGGUGCGAAUAGUGAAUCGCAGAUGCGAAAAUGAGGACUUAAGUGAGGACCGCAGAAGCGGUACCGUAGAAGCGGGAAUUGGGUCGCAAAUGCAAAAUUCCUGGACCAGAACAUAUAAAUUGUUUCCUUCGCAAUUUUUGAGCUAUUCCACCAUUUCUAAGCAGGCUUUGGAGCUUUUUAGGCGAUUUUGAAGAAGGAUUUCAAGGGGACUUCAUUGAUGUAAGGAUUUUGGACCUAAAAUGGAAUUGUGGGUUAAAAUUGGGGAAACCUAGGGCUUGGUAUUGGAGACCUAGAUUUGCAGAUUUGAGGGAUCAUUUGUGAUUAGAUUUUGGUACUUUUAAUAUGUAUGAACUCGUGGGGAGAUAAGGAAUCUAUUGAUGUGAAUAUUAUCGAAUUCCGAGAUGUGGGGCCGGGGGUCGGUUUUUGGUAAUUUCGGGAUUUAUGUUGUAAAUUGAUUAUUUUCGCUUGGGAUUCGUUUUCUUAGCAUAUUGUGACAUUGUGAUUCUAAUUUUGGAUAGAUUCGACGUGAGUGGAGGCCGAUUCGACAGUUAAAGGCGUCGCGGGCUAGAUAUUUGACCGGAUUGAGGAGAGUAAUGAUCGUAAAUGAUGUCCUGAGGGUAUGAAACCCCGGAUUUCACAUCGUUGUGCUAUAUUGAGGUGACGCACACGCUAGAUGACGAGCGUGGGGUCAUGCACUGUUGGGGAUUGUGACUUAGUCCUUCCCGAAUGACUAUUUUACCGCGUAUUUGACUGAAAUCUAUUUGUGAACAUCAUGUUUUGGGCUGAACACCAUAUUUGGGCCUCGUGUCAACUAUUUGAACUCUUAGGGGAUUUUUAUUGAUAUUUCUUCACUAUUUUAACUUUAUACUUGAACUCAGUUAUGCUAUAUCCUACUGUUUUCAUAACUUAGCCAUGUUUACUCUGUUUUAUCACUUAAAUGAUCUUUUAAAUGAUAUUUUGGGCUGAGAAUCAUGUUUUACUAUUGCCUAAGUGACUUGUGAGGAUUUUGACUGAGUAAGGCCGAGGGCCUAUGUUGUGAGGAAACACUCAUUAUGAUUAUGAGGCCGAGGGCCUGAGAUAUGUACGCCACGAGGUGGCUUGUUGAUAUUGUGAGCACGUGAUUUUUGCCCAAAGCAAAUUAUUUCCAGAAAUUCAAACAAAAUAAUUUCUUUAUUAAUUUAUAAUCUUUGUGAAUUUUGGUGUUAUUUUCUGUUAAUUGUCGCAUUUAUAUGUGCAUUCUAAUUCAUAUGAAAAAUACAAAAAUAUGCAUUUGCAUUUAGGAUUUAAUUCCAUAUUUUUAGUAUUAAUUAGAGGUUAAUUUGUUUUAGAACAAAAUAUGAAGAAAAUAACAAAAAUAGUUCACUUUUGCAUUUUUAAUUGUUUAAUUGUGAAUUCGUCCCAAAAUAUUUUUUAAAUAAUUUUAGAAAUCAAUUAGUGAGAUAUAUUAGGACUUUAUUUUAAUUGUUGUAAUUUUAUAAAAUUAGAAAAAUAUACAACAAAUAUAGAAAAAAGAAACAAAUGAAAAGGAAAAGGAAACAAAAAAAAAGAAAUAGAGAAAGGGCUGUCCACAUUUGGGCCAUGCCAAUUCAUUUCACUCAGGCCCAAAUACCCAGUAUAGUUCGACCCAGUCCAAGCCCUUCCCACCCGGUCCAAUUCAUUAAUCCUCCAAACGACGUCGUUUGGGGGACAAUAAAUCUUGGCCAUUAAAGCUUCUGAUCCAACAGCCAGGAACCCCCUUUCCCAUUUUGAUAUAGUUGUCCGAAAAUUUCCAAACCCUAAAAAACAUAGUCCAUCUUCCUCGUACCCUCUGUUACUUCGCCGGAAGCCCACCGCCGGCAAACACCACUUACGCCAUCGACCACCAAAAUAACACCACGAAUCCUCAUUUUCUCCCUCGUCAUGAAUCCACCACCCUUUUCUCUCAAAUCUUUCCCUACCUCCUCGAAUCUUCGAUAGAAAAUUUUCCGGCCACGACGAGACCUACCCCAAAUAACCCCAAAUUAACACCAUGUGACCGCCUGGGCCUCCUCUACCCAACCCCCAUGGCCUUAUCUCUCGAAUCUGUCUGGAAAAGCUCGAAUAUCAAAUCAAAAGUUUCCGACCAAUACCCUAAGGCAAGAUCUUCAUGAUUUCGGACCCUAAUAAUCCUAACCAGGUGUUUUCUUAUGAAAACACAUGGUUAGGGAUGUUACGGGUCAGAAAUUUCGGAAGAUUUGGAGAAGCAACCACUGGCCGGAUCUUAGUGAGUCAUUUUCUGUUUUUUUUGUGUUUUGUUAUUUAGUUUUGUUUUGCAUGUAAUUAAAGAAGGUUUACAAGUUAAUUUCCAUUUCUUGCUUAGUUAAUUGUUUCUGAAUCCUUUCUGCUUUUUAGUUAUCGACGGUGUUUAGUUAAAAUCAGUUGAUUCCUAUUCGUUAUCUAUUAUUUGGGUUCAUAUAUUCAGUGUUGGGAUUGCUAGUUGUUAAUUGCAAAUGCUUGAUUAGUUUUUAUAAAUUGCUUUCAUUAGUUUAUAACUUUGGUUCAGUUAAGAAUAUCAGGCAGAGUUUAAUGUUCAGGUCAAGCUUAAUUAAGUUGUAAAAAUCAGUAUAGUAUAGGGUUAGUUUAGGGAUUUCAAUAAUAUAGAAACCCCUAGGAAUUUCUAGAUAGGGGGCUGCUAAGUAAUUUGUAAAGAAUAGUAGUGUUUACUUGGGUAACAAGUUAGAAAAUAAGGGACUAAUUAAAUAAAUAGGUAAGGGACUGACAUUGAAAAAUCUGAGGGCUACCCUCAUUGGUGCCUAUAAAAGGGCAUGCCCUUUACUUCAAAAAAAAAAAAGAACCUCGAGAAUUCCCUCAAAAAGUUCCCCAAGCUCUCCAGAUUUGAGAUUAAAAUUCAGAUCAAAUCCUUUUAGAUUUUAACUUCUUUCAUAUAGAAAACCCAAAAACAAUAUAAAACUUCAAAAAUCAAGAAAAAAGGCUACUGUCCCGUUAAGCAGUAGGUGAAUUUCAGCUUACAGCUGUUGAUUUACAAAUUUUUAGUUCAAUUUCUGGUUACUGUAACUUCAGAGAUCUGUUUGUUCUAUUUCGGGUGGGUUUUUAGCUUCAGUUGAGUCAUUUUGGGCCAACCAGUUGAUGUGA
This 29574-nucleotide long non-coding RNA is filed under the name Nicotiana tabacum (common tobacco). RNAcentral's name for it is "long non-coding RNA (NTAB_LNC002011)". Lineage: Eukaryota; Viridiplantae; Streptophyta; Magnoliopsida; Solanales; Solanaceae. The record is from RNAcentral.